CGACCGGCGCACGGGUGAGUAACACGUAUGCAACCUGCCCUCCGCAGGGGGAUAACCCGGAGAAAUCCGGACUAAUACCGCGUGGUACAUCUGUGGGGCAUCCCACUGGUGUUAAAAGGAAGCGAUUCCGGCGGAGGAUGGGCAUGCGGCGCAUUAGCUAGUUGGCGGGGUAACGGCCCACCAAGGCGACGAUGCGUAGGGGUUCUGAGAGGAAGGUCCCCCACACUGGUACUGAGACACGGACCAGACUCCUACGGAAGGCAGCAG
This 267-nucleotide ribosomal RNA is filed under the name uncultured bacterium. RNAcentral's name for it is "partial 16S ribosomal RNA". It matches the Rfam family "Bacterial small subunit ribosomal RNA", at positions 92 to 354 of the family's 1533-position model. The record is from RNAcentral.